AUUGAACGCUGGCGGCAUGCCUUACACAUGCAAGUCGAACGGCAGCAUGAUCUAGCUUGCUAGAUUGAUGGCGAGUGGCGAACGGGUGAGUAAUACAUCGGAACGUGCCCUGUAGUGGGGGAUAACUAGUCGAAAGAUUAGCUAAUACCGCAUACGACCUGAGGGUGAAAGUGGGGGACCGCAAGGCCUCAUGCUAUAGGAGCGGCCGAUGUCUGAUUUGCUAGUUGGGGAGGUAAAGGCUCACCAAGGCGACGAUCAGUAGCUGGUCUGAGAGGACGAUCAGCCACACUGGGACUGAGCCACGGCCCAGACUCCUACGGGAGGCAGCAGUGGGGAAUUUUGGACAAUGGGCGAAAGCCUGAUCCAGCAAUGCCGCGUGUGUGAAGAAGGCCUUCGGGUUGUAAAGCACUUUUGUCCGGAAAGAAAUGGCUCUGGUUAAUACCUGGGGUCGAUGACGGUACCGGAAGAAUAAGGACCGGCUAACUACGUG
RNAcentral lists this ribosomal RNA (490 nucleotides) under uncultured bacterium. Its description in RNAcentral is "partial 16S ribosomal RNA". It matches the Rfam family "Bacterial small subunit ribosomal RNA", at positions 30 to 507 of the family's 1533-position model. The record is from RNAcentral.